This 291-nucleotide ribosomal RNA is filed under the name Triticum aestivum (bread wheat). RNAcentral's name for it is "partial small subunit ribosomal RNA". The record is from RNAcentral. Lineage: Eukaryota; Viridiplantae; Streptophyta; Magnoliopsida; Poales; Poaceae.
AUGGCGCCUUCACAAAAGAAUCUCUAUGCGACCGUGCUCCUAAUUGUCAUCGUGACCGCCGUAUGUCCACUGUAUUCAAUGGCAUCUGCAUGCGCUGAGCCGAGUCAAUGCCGGCACCCGAGUGGCAAUUAUAGAGGACCGUGCUUUGGCUUUUCCCACGGUUGCAAUAUUACAUGCCAAGAUGAAAGCUCUGAUAACAUGUGGGGUGAGUGUGAUUGCGACUUUAAAUGCUACUGCUAUACAUGCUGGUCUGAGAUUGUUGCUGUUGCUAGCGCUCCGAUACAGCCAUGA